GAGUUUGAUCCUGGCUCAGGACGAACGCUGGCGGCGUGCCUAAUACAUGCAAGUCGAACGAACUCUGGUAUUGAUUGGUGCUUGCAUCAUGAUUUACAUUUGAGUGAGUGGCGAACUGGUGAGUAACACGUGGGAAACCUGCCCAGAAGCGGGGGAUAACACCUGGAAACAGAUGCUAAUACCGCAUAACAACUUGGACCGCAUGGUCCGAGCUUGAAAGAUGGCUUCGGCUAUCACUUUUGGAUGGUCCCGCGGCGUAUUAGCUAGAUGGUGGGGUAACGGCUCACCAUGGCAAUGAUACGUAGCCGACCUGAGAGGGUAAUCGGCCACAUUGGGACUGAGACACGGCCCAAACUCCUACGGGAGGCAGCAGUAGGGAAUCUUCCACAAUGGACGAAAGUCUGAUGGAGCAACGCCGCGUGAGUGAAGAAGGGUUUCGGCUCGUAAAACUCUGUUGUUAAAGAAGAACAUAUCUGAGAGUAACUGUUCAGGUAUUGACGGUAUUUAACCAGAAAGCCACGGCUAACUACGUGCCAGCAGCCGCGGUAAUACGUAGGUGGCAAGCGUUGUCCGGAUUUAUUGGGCGUAAAGCGAGCGCAGGCGGUUUUUUAAGUCUGAUGUGAAAGCCUUCGGCUCAACCGAAGAAGUGCAUCGGAAACUGGGAAACUUGAGUGCAGAAGAGGACAGUGGAACUCCAUGUGUAGCGGUGAAAUGCGUAGAUAUAUGGAAGAACACCAGUGGCGAAGGCGGCUGUCUGGUCUGUAACUGACGCUGAGGCUCGAAAGUAUGGGUAGCAAACAGGAUUAGAUACCCUGGUAGUCCAUACCGUAAACGAUGAAUGCUAAGUGUUGGAGGGUUUCCGCCCUUCAGUGCUGCAGCUAACGCAUUAAGCAUUCCGCCUGGGGAGUACGGCCGCAAGGCUGAAACUCAAAGGAAUUGACGGGGGCCCGCACAAGCGGUGGAGCAUGUGGUUUAAUUCGAAGCUACGCGAAGAACCUUACCAGGUCUUGACAUACUAUGCAAAUCUAAGAGAUUAGACGUUCCCUUCGGGGACAUGGAUGCAGGUGGUGCAUGGUUGUCGUCAGCUCGUGUCGUGAGAUGUUGGGUUAAGUCCCGCAACGAGCGCAACCCUUAUUAUCAGUUGCCAGCAUUAAGUUGGGCACUCUGGUGAGACUGCCGGUGACAAACCGGAGGAAGAUGGGGAUGACGUCAAAUCAUCAUGCCCCUUAUGACCUGGGCUACACACGUGCUACAAUGGAUGGUACAACGAGUUGCGAACUCGCGAGAGUAAGCUAAUCUCUUAAAGCCAUUCUCAGUUCGGAUUGUAGGCUGCAACUCGCCUACAUGAAGUCGGAAUCGCUAGUAAUCGCGGAUCAGCAUGCCGCGGUGAAUACGUUCCCGGGCCUUGUACACACCGCCCGUCACACCAUGAGAGUUUGUAACACCCAAAGUCGGUGGGGUAACCUUUUAGGAACCAGCCGCCUAAGGUGGGACAGAUGAUUAGGGUGAAGUCGUAACAAGGUAGCCGUAG
RNAcentral lists this ribosomal RNA (1531 nucleotides) under Lactiplantibacillus argentoratensis. RNAcentral's name for it is "partial 16S ribosomal RNA". It matches the Rfam family "Bacterial small subunit ribosomal RNA". Lineage: Bacteria; Bacillati; Bacillota; Bacilli; Lactobacillales; Lactobacillaceae. The record is from RNAcentral.